AAUGACUGGGCAAAGGCCUCAGCAGACAAGCUGUUCAGUCAUUGGCUGCACAGCCCAACACAAAUUUACAUAUGUAAAUGUAUGUAAAUAAUUUUUUACGGCAAUGUCCGGCUAGAGUCACAAAAACGGGAAUGUGUGUGUGAACUUUCGUGUUGGACUGUUUUCACAACCUCGGUCAGUACAACAGUGGACUGACUGAAAGACUGUUCCUGAAAGAGGGAUUGUACCAACUGUCUGUGGAGAGACAGCAGAGGAAGUCACUGUGACCUGAUGAAGCUCAGGUGUUCCUGGACCCAUCAGAGGACAGAGACAGCUGCAGCAUCAGGACAGUCUGGGUAUCCAAAGGAAGACUCAACAAGAUGAACACUGACCGCAGAGCUCCAUUACCAGCUCACACUUCAGUAUACUAGAAACCAUAAACCUUGAUGGAGGACAUGAUCUGCACAGUUUACAUAAAAGUUAUAGCUUUGUUACUUACAACAUGUGUAACUGGAAUAUGAAUGAAAUAUAAAUAAAGUGUUUUACUUUUAAGAA
Long non-coding RNA from Dicentrarchus labrax (European seabass), 534 nucleotides. RefSeq lists it as uncharacterized. The record is from RefSeq and is a predicted model, not a curated record. NCBI's taxonomy places the organism in Eukaryota, Metazoa, Chordata, Actinopteri, Moronidae. The transcript is spliced from 2 exons.